This 529-nucleotide ribosomal RNA is filed under the name uncultured Hymenobacter sp. RNAcentral's name for it is "bacterial SSU rRNA". It matches the Rfam family "Bacterial small subunit ribosomal RNA", at positions 91 to 619 of the family's 1533-position model. Lineage: Bacteria; Pseudomonadati; Bacteroidota; Cytophagia; Cytophagales; Hymenobacteraceae. The record is from RNAcentral.
ACUAGUGGCGCACGGGUGCGUAACGCGUAACCAACCUGCCCUUGACUGGGGGAUAGCCCGCCGAAAGGCGGAUUAAUACCGCAUAAACCAACAGCCUGGCAUCAGGCAAUUGGUAAAGAUUUAUUGGUCAAGGAUGGGGUUGCGUGACAUUAGCUAGUUGGCGGGGUAACGGCCCACCAAGGCGACGAUGUCUAGGGGACCUGAGAGGGUGAUCCCCCACACUGGCACUGAGAUACGGGCCAGACUCCUACGGGAGGCAGCAGUAGGGAAUAUUGGGCAAUGGGCGAGAGCCUGACCCAGCCAUGCCGCGUGCCGGAUGAAGGCCUUCUGGGUUGUAAACGGCUUUUCUCAGGGAAGAAAAAGACCAUGCGUGGUACACUGACGGUACCUGAGGAAUAAGCACCGGCUAACUCCGUGCCAGCAGCCGCGGUAAUACGGAGGGUGCAAGCGUUGUCCGGAUUUAUUGGGUUUAAAGGGUGCGUAGGUGGCCCUGUAAGUCCGUGGUGAAAGCCUCUCGCUUAACGAGAGA